This 348-nucleotide ribosomal RNA is filed under the name Leclercia sp. 186S. RNAcentral's name for it is "bacterial SSU rRNA". It matches the Rfam family "Bacterial small subunit ribosomal RNA", at positions 1016 to 1364 of the family's 1533-position model. The record is from RNAcentral. Lineage: Bacteria; Pseudomonadati; Pseudomonadota; Gammaproteobacteria; Enterobacterales; Enterobacteriaceae.
GCCUUCGGGAACUCUGAGACAGGUGCUGCAUGGCUGUCGUCAGCUCGUGUUGUGAAAUGUUGGGUUAAGUCCCGCAACGAGCGCAACCCUUAUCCUUUGUUGCCAGCGGUUAGGCCGGGAACUCAAAGGAGACUGCCAGUGAUAAACUGGAGGAAGGUGGGGAUGACGUCAAGUCAUCAUGGCCCUUACGAGUAGGGCUACACACGUGCUACAAUGGCGCAUACAAAGAGAAGCGACCUCGCGAGAGCAAGCGGACCUCAUAAAGUGCGUCGUAGUCCGGAUUGGAGUCUGCAACUCGACUCCAUGAAGUCGGAAUCGCUAGUAAUCGUAGAUCAGAAUGCUACGGUG